CCGCCACCUCCGCCGCCGCACGCCACCACACCGGAAUCAGUGCUCGCUGGGAAAGCAGAGUGGUCUGUGCCCAUUGAGUGGUAGCCAAAGUAGAGGUUCAUGUUCCCGUUGGUCGUGGUUGACUGAGUGGACGCCUGGCCUGGCUUCUUCAUGCGGAGGAACCAAGCGCACCAGUUGAGGAGGAUGACUCGAACCUGGACAAAGAAACAAGAGUUGGAUUACAGACGGAAGAGAUGGGUGAGGCAAAGGGAAGAACCGGACUGGAAAUACCCAGUGAGAUCUUCUCUCCAGAGUCGGCAGGGAGCAGGAAGACCAGCAGGGCCAGACCAGAUAUGAGCACGCAGGGGAUGAGCAGGUUGAGGCCGUAGUACAGCGUCCUGCGGCGCAUGGUGACUGUGAACGUCACAUCGGGCGAAUGUCUCCUGUCUGAAAGCAGAUUUGGCUUUCUGAAGCUGUAGCUGGAAGUUGUUGCCUUUCAUCCUUACUGGAGUUCAGCAAGGUCCCACUCCCCGUUGGGUAUGUAGCUAGAGAUGUCGACGUCCAUCAUCUGGAGGUCAAGCAGCCAGCCAUUGUGAGUCCAGGAACCAAACUUCAGGUCACACUUCUGCACAUCAAAUGGGAACCACCGAACAUCGAUGUAGCAGGUACUCUUCAAGAUGCCUGGAGACCAGUUGGGGAAAGCCACAGUCAGGCUCAAUGGAGGAAAACCUGCCAGCAACACUGGAGCAUUUCUGAUGCCUCAUGGAGGAAAACAUCAGAAAUCUCAACAUACAAGAGUCCUUGAGCUAGAGGUGGCUGCAGUGGAGCACCAGUUCAUCUACAUUAAUGAGGUUGGAUUCAACCUCACAAAAAGACGAAAGAGGGGAAGGAAUAUCAUCGGCCAGCGUGCCAUUGUUGAAGUCCCUGGCCAGCGCGGAGGGUGUGCACAAUGUGUGCAGCGUCAUCCAUCACCAUGCUGCCCUUGGCCUCUACAACACUGCCCAUCUGAUCACACUCCUGGACACCCGACACAACACUCUCAUCCAGCAGGUCAGUUGACGGCCCGAGCACCUCAGGUACGUUGUCAUUUGGGACAACGUAAGUUUCCACCGCGCUGCUCUGGUUCGUAACUGGUUCACUGCCCAUCCACGCUUUUUAGAUGUUUAUCUCCCUCCAUAUUCUCCAUUCCUCAAUCCUAUUGAGGAAUUCUUUUCUGCCUUGAGAUGGAAAGUGUAUGACCGAAAUCCACAAACACGUAUACUCCUUCUCCAAGCUAUGGUAGAUGCAUGUGGAAAUAUAGCAGUUGAUGCUUUUCAUGGCUGGAUUCGCCAUGCAAGGCGAUAUUUCCCCCACUGCUUGGCCAGGGAAAAUAUUGCUUGUGAUGUGGAUGAGGUGCUGUGGCCAGACCGAAACAGAAGAGAGGAUGCAGCAUAGUUGUUUUUUUUACUGUAACUGUACACAGUAAAUUCUUCUGUUGUUUUGUAUGUAGACCACUGUAUGUGCAACUUUGUGUUGGUUGUUUUUGUGGGAAAAAUAAAAUAUUUGUUACUGUGUAUUUGUGUGUUCUGAGUAUAGAAACACUUAUGUAUGUACUGUCUGUAGUAAGUGUAACACUGAACCAAAAAAAGGCCUAAGUCAUUAUGAUGAAUGGAGAAGAAGUGUUUUCCAUUCAUCAUAGUGUUUUACAU
Scophthalmus maximus (turbot) is the source of this 1667-nucleotide long non-coding RNA. RefSeq lists it as uncharacterized. The record is from RefSeq and is a predicted model, not a curated record. The transcript has 7 exons. NCBI's taxonomy places the organism in Eukaryota, Metazoa, Chordata, Actinopteri, Pleuronectiformes, Scophthalmidae.